CCUACGGGCGGCAGCAGUGGGGAAUAUUGCGCAAUGGGCGAAAGCCUGACGCAGCGACGCCGCGUGAGUGAAGAAGUAAUUCGUUAUGUAAAGCUCUAUCAGCAGGGAAGAAAAUGACGGUACCUGAGUAAGAAGCCCCGGCUAACUACGUGCCAGCAGCCGCGGUAAUACGUAGGGGGCAAGCGUUAUCCGGAUUUACUGGGUGUAAAGGGAGCGUAGACGGCAGUGCAAGUCUGGAGUGAAAGGCGGGGGCUCAACCCCCGGACUGCUCUGGAAACUGUACGGCUGGAGUGCAGGAGAGGUAAGUGGAAUUCCUAGUGUAGCGGUGAAAUGCGUAGAUAUUAGGAGGAACACCAGUGGCGAAGGCGGCUUACUAGACUGUAACUGACGUUGAGGCUCGAAAGCGUGGGGAGCAAACAGGAUUAGAUACCCCAGUAGUC
RNAcentral lists this ribosomal RNA (440 nucleotides) under uncultured bacterium. RNAcentral describes it as "partial 16S ribosomal RNA". It matches the Rfam family "Bacterial small subunit ribosomal RNA", at positions 338 to 795 of the family's 1533-position model. The record is from RNAcentral.